AAAUUUAGGCUAACAACACUAAACCAAGGGCCUUCAAAGCCCUAACUAAGAACACCAACUUCUU
RNAcentral lists this transfer RNA (64 nucleotides) under Cyrtodactylus battalensis (Reticulate plump-bodied gecko). Its description in RNAcentral is "tRNA-Trp". Lineage: Eukaryota; Metazoa; Chordata; Lepidosauria; Squamata; Gekkonidae. The record is from RNAcentral.